This 23-nucleotide small nuclear RNA is filed under the name Arabidopsis thaliana (thale cress). Its description in RNAcentral is "snRNA_17836". The record is from RNAcentral. Lineage: Eukaryota; Viridiplantae; Streptophyta; Magnoliopsida; Brassicales; Brassicaceae.
AGGAUAAUGUUGCAUAAAUAGAU